CAGUAGCCGCGGUAAUACGUAGGUGGCAAGCGUUGUCCGGAAUUAUUGGGCGUAAAGGGCUCGCAGGCGGUUUCUUAAGUCUGAUGUGAAAGCCCCCGGCUCAACCGGGGAGGGUCAUUGGAAACUGGGAAACUUGAGUGCAGAAGAGGAGAGUGGAACUCCACGUGUAGCGGUGAAAUGCGUAGAGAUGUGGAGGAACACCAGUGGCGAAGGCGACUCUCUGGUCUGUAACUGACGCUGAGGAGCGAAAGCGUGGGGAGCGAACAGGAUUAGAUACCCCAGUAGUCCCUGUCUCUUAUAC
Molecule: ribosomal RNA, 301 nt
Filed under: uncultured bacterium
Lineage: Bacteria
Description: partial 16S ribosomal RNA
Rfam family: Bacterial small subunit ribosomal RNA
Source: RNAcentral